Molecule: transfer RNA, 17 nt
Filed under: Podarcis siculus (Italian wall lizard)
Lineage: Eukaryota; Metazoa; Chordata; Lepidosauria; Squamata; Lacertidae
Description: partial tRNA-Glu
Source: RNAcentral
UAUUCAACUAUUAAAAU